This 456-nucleotide ribosomal RNA is filed under the name Triticum aestivum (bread wheat). Its description in RNAcentral is "partial small subunit ribosomal RNA". Lineage: Eukaryota; Viridiplantae; Streptophyta; Magnoliopsida; Poales; Poaceae. The record is from RNAcentral.
AUGGCGUCGCUGCAGCUGCAAGCUGUCGCUGCCGUCCUGGCUCUCGUGGCCGGCGCCGGUGCCGCGCACGGCUUCGAGUUCCACGAGGCCACCGUCGAAGCCAUCCAGCUAGGGUUCAGCAACGGGACUUUGACCUCCACGGCGCUCGUCCGGUUCUUACCUGGAUCAGAUCGGCCGCCUCAACCCGCUGCUGCACGCCGUCAUCGAGGUCAACCCGGACGCGCUCAGGCAGGCCAAGCAUGCCGACGCCGAGCGCCGCCGCAGCAUGGCCACCGGCUCGCUGCUGCGCGGCGGGACAACAUCGCCACCCGUGACGCGCUCAACACCACGGCGGGCUCGCUGGCCCUCCUCGGCUCUGUGGUGAAGCGUGACGCCGGCGUGGCGGCUCGGCUCCGGCGCGCGGGCGCCGUGGUGCUCGGCAAGGCCAGCCUGUCCGAGUGGGCCAAUUUCCGCUAA